GUCAACCAAUCUAAACAAUCUCUGCAUUUUUCGAGCUAAGAAUCCGGUGACCCCUUCAUCUUUAGUGACACCAGAUUUGCGAUACAUCCAAAGCCAAUACGAUAACCGGACUAGUAAAACGGUAUUUCCAAUUGCCAACAAAAGUAAUAGUCCCAUGCUAACUGAAGUUCCAAUUAUUCCUCCUAUGGUUUGAAAGUUAUUCCAUCGAUCUGCAAACUUACUGGAAGUAGCUGCUACUACGAUGCAAGUUAUAAGGACUACAGUUGAAUGACCAAUGCUGAACCAAGUUCCAACUGUUGACAUUGGUUUGUCUGUUGAUAAUAAACGGCGCGUUAAGUUGUCAAUUGCAGUAAUAUGAUCAGCAUCGAGAGCGUGUCUUAAACCAAGUGUCCAAGAUAAUAAAACUGAGAGAAAUAACGAUCUGUUAACUAAACUGAUGACUAUUGCCGCAACUAUCCAAACUACGAUAUUUACCGAUAUCAAAGAAAAGAUAGGCACGCUAACCUUUGGUGGAAGCUUUGAUAGAAAGGGUAUUUCGAAAUAAAAAUUCUCAAACUUCCUUAGAAAUUCAUUUUUUCUAGGUUUAACAUAUUCAGACAUACUGUUCAUACAAAUAAACGCGUAAUUUGAAUAGAUUGCGUUCACAUAAACCUGUAUCCACUUAGGAUUCCAAUAAUAAUAACAAUUUUACCUAAUAUCACAACAGUUCUGCAACGCACUGUAGUAGUUUACUUUAAAGGAAGUAAAUCGCUUGAGUUUGUGAGAAACGAACUUGGUUGACUCACAAAGUUCCUAUCCUCAACACAAUGGUAAAAGAAUUGAAUAGUGCAGAGUGUAGAAAAGAUGAGCAGGUGAUUUCAAAGGGUAAAAUCAAAGCGAUCAUGAAGGAUACUGCUGUAGUGCAACCUAUCAAAGUCAUAUUUAAUUCACGUGUCGCAGAUUCAUCUCGUAAGCAGCAACGACCGAUAUGGCGGUGAUGCUUAAACGUGUUUAUUGUCAGCAAUACUACACUACGCUAUGAUACACUACGUUGAGUAUCACUAUAUGUCACAUGUUCUAAUUAUAUAUCGUACCAUGUAUGAUACGAUAUGGAGAUUGAUCUUAAUGAUAAUCUAUUAAGAUCAAUAUUAUCUGAAUACUAUAAAUAGAGCUACUGCUGAACCUCGUUCCUCAGUUCAGUUAUGAGCUAUAUUAGUGAUAGGUAACAUUAUAACCCAGUUAAUACAAUACCUAUACUCAGUUGCUACUUAUACAACCUGUGUAUUGUAAUAUAAUAGAUCACAAGGAAAACUCACCGCAGUUCUACGUAUCUUUAAAUCAGAUACCAAACUGCGUAGCUUACAUAUAAAUUACAUAACGCUAAUGUCAUACAACACCGUAUUCGUCUGAUUUGUCUACAAAAAUGUAAACAAACAAUUAUUUUAUCGCAUUGAUACAACAAACCAAUUGAAUAUCGCCUUUUGAAGCAUAAACUUUGCAUUUAAAAGAUGAAUAAACAAAGGAAGAAGUUAAUUGGAUCUCACACCGCAUAAACGAUGCAUAAAGUUUGAUGUGGUGUCGUAACGGUGUAUUAUAGGUUG
RNAcentral lists this long non-coding RNA (1580 nucleotides) under Schizosaccharomyces pombe (fission yeast). The record is from RNAcentral. Lineage: Eukaryota; Fungi; Ascomycota; Schizosaccharomycetes; Schizosaccharomycetales; Schizosaccharomycetaceae.